This 1223-nucleotide long non-coding RNA is filed under the name Cimex lectularius (bed bug). RNAcentral describes it as "uncharacterized LOC106669737, transcript variant X2". Lineage: Eukaryota; Metazoa; Arthropoda; Insecta; Hemiptera; Cimicidae. The record is from RNAcentral.
AAGUAGCUGUAGUUUUAGUCACCAUAUGUAUUGAAAACAAGCAAGUGUUGAUCCGAACAAAUUUCCGAGAGAAAAAUGCAUCGCUUCGAGAACAAACGGAAUCGUUAAACAUGCCGACAUUUUUGAAAACGUUAUUCGACCUCUUGGCGAAAAAAUUAGGGGGAGAUGUUCUCGAAGGUGACACAGACGAAAACGAAAUAAAGGAGCUGUUUGUUUCUACCAAUUCGACGGAACAGUUUGUACCUUCGCCUGCCCUUUCGACGCCGUCCUGCGUUUCCAUCGACUUUUCCGACAGCGACAUUGUCCUGUGUCGUACCCCUGAAACGUACAGCCUUCAGUACGCCCAGCAAGGCUUCCUGAAAAAGGCUUUGAAGAAGGAGGAGGCCACCCAUAUGAAAUGGGUGGAGCAGAUUGGCAGGAACAAACGUACGAACGACGACAUCAGUCGGCGAAGCAGUAUCGUAUUCGGUUCCCAAGAUUGCACCGUUCAAUGAGGUAGAAGCGUGGUCCCUUUUUCGCUUUGUUUCUUGUAGCCUGAAGUGAUUUUUUUAUGAGUUCCAAAAGGGGAACAUAUGUUACACUUCAGUCAAAUGAUGCAAGGAAAAUUCGUUUGUUAAGUUUCAAAGUAUUACACCCUCACACACGUGUUAAAGCAUAAUGAAAGCCGGAUUCGAUUCUACAAUUUCGAGACCCAAAAUGACCUCGAAAUCUGAGAGCAUAAAGGAGAUCUUUCUGCAGGAAUGCAAAGCCGUCGUUUCUCCUAAGAGAUCGACACCUUCUUUCGUUUCGCUCAACGACGACAGCGACGCAGAAGGUUUGCAGCUGAAGGCGACACUCUCCAUAGAAAGCAUACACCAAAUCGAGGACCGUCUGCUGACUCUGCAGUAUGAAAACAAGCGGCUGGAGAGGGACAGGCGCAUUCUGAACCACAAGGAAGGAUCUCUAAGGAACUUCGUCCACGAUGCGAAUGCGACCGACCACGCCGAAGCACACGAAUUGCUGGAUGCCGAAGAGAAAUGCAAAGAAAACGUGGCCGCCGAAACGCCUCCAGAAAAAAACGAAUCGAAAACAUUCAUUCCGGAAUUAGAAGAACAAUAAUGUGCUGUACGAAGUGAUUGAGUCAAAAACCGGAUCAGCGCUUUAUUAAUUACAGGCUGAAACAUGUGUGAAUAUACAUUCCAAAAAACACAUUUAAAAACAAACAUGUUAAAACAGCAGUUCUU